CGAACCCUCCGCCAUACUCCAUUAGCACUUCCGCGCUUUGAAAAGAAACUCCCGUAAUUAGAAAGAACAACAAGGGCAGGGGGCGACAUUUCAAUGUUAGUUAAACUAAUUGGUGGUUUCUCUUUAAAUCGGCGGAUGUCCCAGCGACUGUAGCCGUGAAUGAGCCGGGACAAAACUACGCUAAACGGAACCGGUUUUCCUGGUUUCGGCACAGCGAAUGCAUGGCGGCGGUCGGCGGAAAUCGGUGAAAAACCAAACGGAAUUCUGCCUUCCUUCCGUGGUGAGGGUGAUGACGAGGAUCGACAGGACCAGAACCCCGGCCCCUGUCGGCCCCCUGCCCACCAUUACCGCUCCUUCCAUAGCAGCCUGCAGUCCAAAUGCAUACUGCUUGCUUCCGGACCGGCCGCACCGCUUCCAACUGCACCAAACGGCCGAUAUGGAGGACCACCGGAGCGGGUACGGGAAUGGUGCUCAGGUUGUGGCUCUUAUUCGGCCUCAAGUUCCAGUGAUUGACUCACUAUUAUGGAGGGGUCGCUGGAGCCUAUCUCAGCUACAUUCGGGCGGAAGGCGGGGUACCUGGACAAGUCGCCACCUCAUCGCAAUCUAAUUUUCCUUGUGUGUGUCCCCUGAGUCGAUCUGUGUGUCUCGCACUCCUGGAUCUUCCCACUCUUCCUCGUGCUUCCUGGUUGUCGACCCCUCGCCUACCCCUGGACUACGACGCCUCGCUCCUGCCUCUCGACCACUCUUCAAUCAAUCAAUCAAUGUUUAUUUAUAUAGCCCUAAAUCAAAAGUGUCUCAAAGGGCUACACAAGCCACAACGACAUCCUCGGUACAGAGCCCACAUAAGGGCUCUGCCCCCGGACUACCCUGCAUGCCUUGCCCUUGUCUGACAGCACCGCUCCUCUCAACACGCACCUCCAACAUUUACGGUAACACUUUCCAGUUAAAUACUACACAUAGUCUGACACUCAUGCUCUUUUGGUUAACUACACAUCAUAUAUUUAUAUCUUUAAUAAAUACGCCCAUGGCUAAACGCU
This is a long non-coding RNA of Nerophis lumbriciformis (worm pipefish), 1037 nucleotides long. RefSeq lists it as uncharacterized. NCBI's taxonomy places the organism in Eukaryota, Metazoa, Chordata, Actinopteri, Syngnathiformes, Syngnathidae. The record is from RefSeq and is a predicted model, not a curated record.